This 1216-nucleotide long non-coding RNA is filed under the name Salmo salar (Atlantic salmon). RNAcentral describes it as "lncRNA (ENSSSAG00000113454.1)". Lineage: Eukaryota; Metazoa; Chordata; Actinopteri; Salmoniformes; Salmonidae. The record is from RNAcentral.
AAUCAUGAAGGUUGACGAGGAAGCCUCAGGCUGAAACAGAUUAUCACCUUAUCCAAGUGUCCCAUUAGGUGACAAUGGAAUGAGGCGCGUGCGCGAUUAGCCCCCGUGGAGUAUUUUAAUUCGGCUGUUUAGUUUAUUGCAGAUUCCCGGUCGGAAUAUUAUCGCUUUUCUACGAGAUAAAUGGCAUAAAAAUUGGUUUUAAACAGCGGUUGACAUGCUUCGAAGUACGGUAAUGGAAUAUUUAGACAUUUUUUGUCACGCCAUGCGCCAUGCGCGCGACCGUGGAUUACCAUUCGUAUAGUGUCUAGAACGCACGAACAAAACAACGCUAUUUGGAUAUAACUAUGGAUUAUUUGGGACCAAACCUACAUUUGUUAUUGAAGUAGAAGUCCUGGGCGUGUAUUCUGACGAAGAACAGGAAAGGACCUGAGCCCUAGGACCAUGCCUCAGGACUACCUGGUAUGAUGACUCCUUGCUGUCCCCAGUCCACCUGGCCGUGCUGCUGCUCCAGUUUCAACUGUUCUGCCUGCGGCUAUGGAACCCUGACCUGUUCACCGGACGUGCUUGUUGCACCCUCGACAACUACUAUGAUUAUUAUUAUUUGACCAUGCUGGUCAUUUAUGAACAUUUUAACAUUUUAACAUCUUGACCAUGUUCUGUUAUAAUAUCCACCCUGCACAGCCAGAAGAGGACUGGCCACCCCUCAUAGCCUGGUUCCUCUCUAGGUUUCUUCCUAGGUUUUUGGCCUUUCUAGGGAGUUUUUCCUAGGGAGUUUUUCCUAGCCACCGUGCUUCUUUCACAUGCUUUGCUUGCUGUUUGGGGUUUUAGGCUGGGUUUCUGUACAGCACUUUGAGAUAUCAGCUGAUGUACGAAGGGCUAUAUAAAUAAAUUUGAUUUGAUUUGAUUUUGAUAUGGCAGGCAAAAAACGGAGAAAAUUCCAAGCAGGAAUUGGCCUGUCUGAGAAUUUGUAGUUCUUCUUUUGGUUCUCUAUCAAAACUACAGUAUCUGUGGGGUUACAUAGCACUUUCUAAGGCUUCCACUGACUCUCUAAAGCCUUCAGAAAGUGGAUUGAGGCGUCUCCUGUCUCUGGGCAGAGUACAGUAGUUCAGUUUGUCAGUGGUCUGCCUGGUGACUAAGAAAUUGGAUAUGCGAGUUCACGCGACCUCGCUGUUUUUUUCUUUUCCUCUUUGAAUGAAAACACUAUAGUCCGGUUGGA